RNAcentral lists this unclassified non-coding RNA (404 nucleotides) under soil metagenome. Its description in RNAcentral is "partial contains 5.8S ribosomal RNA, internal transcribed spacer 2, and large subunit ribosomal RNA". The stretch from base 1 to 122 matches the Rfam family "5.8S ribosomal RNA", at positions 35 to 154 of the family's 154-position model. The record is from RNAcentral.
GAUGAAGAACGUAGUAAAAUGCGAUACUUGGUGUGAAUUGCAGAAUCCCGUGAACCAUCGAGUUUUUGAACGCAAGUUGCGCCCGAAGCCUUUUGGCCGAGGGCACGUCUGCCUGGGCGUCACGCAUCGCGUCGCCCCCCACAAUUCUCCGUAAAAGGAACAUGUGUUUUGGGGGCGGAUAUUGGUCUCCCGUGCUCAUGGCGUGGUUGGCCGAAAUAGGAGUCCUUUCGAUGGACGCACGAACUAGUGGUGGUCGGAAAAACCCUCGUCUUUUGUUUCGUGCUGUUGCUCGCAAGGUAAACUCUUUAAAAACCCCAAUGUGUCGUCUCUUGACGACGCUUCGACCGCGACCCCAGGUCAGGCGGGACUACCCGCUGAGUUUAAGCAUAUCAAUAAGCGGAGGA